CGAAAGCCUGACGGAGCAACGCCGCGUGAGUGAUGAAGGUCUUCGGAUCGUAAAACUCUGUUAUUAGGGAAGAACAAAUGUGUAAGUAACUGUGCACGUCUUGACGGUACCUAAUCAGAAAGCCACGGCUAACUACGUGCCAGCAGCCGCGGUAAUACGUAGGUGGCAAGCGUUAUCCGGAAUUAUUGGGCGUAAAGCGCGCGUAGGCGGUUUCUUAAGUCUGAUGUGAAAGCCCACGGCUCAACCGUGGAGGGUCAUUGGAAACUGGGAAACUUGAGUGCAGAAGAGGAAAGUGGAAUUCCAUGUGUAGCGGUGAAAUGCGCAGAGAUAUGGAGGAACACCAGUGGCGAAGGCGACUUUCUGGUCUGUAACUGACGCUGAUGUGCGAAAGCGUGGGGAUCAAACAGGAUUAGAUACCCUGGUAGUCCACGCCGUAAACGAUGAGUGCUAAGUGUUAGGGGGGUUUCCGCCCCUUAGUGCUGCAGCUAACGCAUUAAGCACUCCGCCUGGGGAGUACGACCGCAAGGUUGAAACUCAAGGAAUUGACGGGGACCCGCACAAGCGGUGGAGCAUGUGGUUUAAUUCGAAGCAACGCGAGAACCUUACCAAAUCUUGACAUCCUUUGACACUCUAGAGAUAGAGCCUUUCC
This 649-nucleotide ribosomal RNA is filed under the name Staphylococcus cohnii. RNAcentral describes it as "bacterial SSU rRNA". It matches the Rfam family "Bacterial small subunit ribosomal RNA", at positions 376 to 1018 of the family's 1533-position model. Lineage: Bacteria; Bacillati; Bacillota; Bacilli; Caryophanales; Staphylococcaceae. The record is from RNAcentral.